AGCUCAUCAAGAGAGGUGGAGGGAAGGGCCCUAUGAAACCCGGCAACCGGCAAAUGUACGGUGCCAAUUCCUGCAGGAUUGUCAUAUUCAGUCCUGAAAGAUGGGGG
RNAcentral lists this non-coding RNA (107 nucleotides) under Clostridia bacterium. RNAcentral describes it as "SAM-I sequence". It matches the Rfam family "SAM riboswitch aptamer (S box leader)". Rfam says of the family: The SAM riboswitch is found upstream of a number of genes which code for proteins involved in methionine or cysteine biosynthesis in Gram-positive bacteria. The SAM riboswitch acts at the level of transcription termination control. Lineage: Bacteria; Bacillati; Bacillota; Clostridia. The record is from RNAcentral.